RNAcentral lists this ribosomal RNA (58 nucleotides) under Drepanocladus polygamus. Its description in RNAcentral is "partial 25S ribosomal RNA". Lineage: Eukaryota; Viridiplantae; Streptophyta; Bryopsida; Hypnales; Amblystegiaceae. The record is from RNAcentral.
CAAACCUCUAAUCGGAAAAGACUACCCGCUGAGUUUAAGCAUAUCAAUAAGCGGAGGA